CCAACCUUUCUUUAAUAAACUGUUAAACUGCGACUGAUGUACAGGCACAGUACAAGGUUUUCGGUACAGGUCAGAGUACGUUUCAGAAAAGAUGGGAUUGCUAUUUUUGCUGUUCGAACUUUCUUAGGUUUCGAGACGUGAGCUCGAGGCGAUGAAGGGUCGAGCCUGAGGGACUUCCCAUUUUUCAGUGUGUGUGUCGUGGUGGCGAGGAGCGGUGGUGUAGCUUCCUUUGGCUGCUGCUGCUCCUGCUCCUCCUUUCUUUUCCCUCUUUAGUCUUUUUUAACGCUUGUCCUCGUGUCCCUCUUCCUCCUCGUUGCCUUUCCAUCGUUAUCGUUAUCAUCAUCCUCGCCCUCUCCGCUGGCUUUGUGUUCCUCACCUUACAUCUGCAGAUGGGGCUCACAUUCCUCUUCCUUUUUCUGCUGAUUCAACGCUUCUCGAUUUUAGUUUUCUUUCUCCUCGUUCUCAUCUUUUAUCUUGUCCUCCACCACUCCUCUCCACACGAACAAGGACACACACACGCCACACUGUCACUGUCGAUCCGGUGUCAUUGCAACGUCUUGUUCAGUCGUGAUGGUCCUCGUCCAGCUCCUCGCCACCUCACCACACGCCACCACCGUCCCUGUUGAUGCU
Long non-coding RNA from Scylla paramamosain (green mud crab), 630 nucleotides. RefSeq lists it as uncharacterized. The transcript is spliced from 2 exons. NCBI's taxonomy places the organism in Eukaryota, Metazoa, Arthropoda, Malacostraca, Decapoda, Portunidae. The record is from RefSeq and is a predicted model, not a curated record.